RNAcentral lists this transfer RNA (92 nucleotides) under Microcaldota archaeon. RNAcentral describes it as "tRNA-His". It matches the Rfam family "tRNA". Rfam says of the family: Transfer RNA (tRNA) molecules are approximately 80 nucleotides in length. Their secondary structure includes four short double-helical elements and three loops (D, anti-codon, and T loops). Lineage: Archaea; Nanobdellati; Microcaldota. The record is from RNAcentral.
GCUGGGUUGGUCUAGUGGUUUCCCCUGUCGGGAGCCGCAAAUGACAGGGGCCUGUGGAGCCCUUAACGCGAGUUCGAUUCUCGCACCCGGCC